AAACCUGACCAAAACAUUCAAAAUGCCUGAAUAUGUUUCUGUGGGAAUUUAGGAAAAGCUGGCAAAUGUCCUGCCACGUUAGGAGCCUUAAGGUAAACUGAGACAUAUGACUCUCAAAAAUGGAUCCAGUA
RNAcentral lists this small nucleolar RNA (131 nucleotides) under Mesocricetus auratus (golden hamster). RNAcentral's name for it is "Small nucleolar RNA SNORA33 (ENSMAUG00000005099.1)". Lineage: Eukaryota; Metazoa; Chordata; Mammalia; Rodentia; Cricetidae. The record is from RNAcentral.